RNAcentral lists this unclassified non-coding RNA (367 nucleotides) under uncultured Tomentella. RNAcentral's name for it is "sequence contains ITS1". The stretch from base 1 to 106 matches the Rfam family "5.8S ribosomal RNA", at positions 50 to 154 of the family's 154-position model. Lineage: Eukaryota; Fungi; Basidiomycota; Agaricomycetes; Thelephorales; Thelephoraceae. The record is from RNAcentral.
GAAAUGCGAUAAGUAAUGUGAAUUGCAGAAUUCAGUGAAUCAUCGAAUCUUUGAACGCACCUUGCGCCCUUUGGCUAUUCCGAAGGGCAUGCCUGUUUGAGUAUCAUGAACACCUCAACUCUCGUGGUUUGCUACGAUGAGCUUGGACUUUGGGGGUCUUGCUGGCCUGUGGUCGGCUCCUCUCAAAUGAAUCAGCUUCCCAGUGUUUGGUGGCGUCGCAGGUGUGAUAACUAUCUACGCUUGCGGUUUUCCACCAGAUAACCUUCAGUGAUGGAGGUUCGCUGGGGCUCAUAAACGUCUUUCCUCAGUGAAGACAGCUUUUUGAACGUUUGAUCUCAAAUCAGGUAGGACUACCCGCUGAACUUAA